This 354-nucleotide unclassified non-coding RNA is filed under the name Hevea brasiliensis (rubber tree). Lineage: Eukaryota; Viridiplantae; Streptophyta; Magnoliopsida; Malpighiales; Euphorbiaceae. The record is from RNAcentral.
GUUGAAAUCAAAUAGUCCUUAGGGAGGAUAACACCAUGUUAACCAAUAAGAUGAAAAGGUCAUAGUUAUUUACACGCUUGAAAUGGCUGAAUGCAAACAUUUGAUGCCGCUCUUCCAAGGGGGGAAAAAUAGCAAAUUAAAAGAAUAUUCAUAUACUGUUAAUACACAAUAAAUUGAUCAGGAAAAAAAUGCGCCAGUAAAACUGGAAAGAAAUUUGAUAAAUAUCGACGGAGAAUUUUGGGACUGUAUACUGACAGAUCUUAUUCUAAUGUUUAUGAACAAAAGAAUUGUGUGGUCUAUCCCUCAACUCUCACACACCCACACCCACACCCGUUGCCCACCGCGCCCCCAAAC